Molecule: long non-coding RNA, 1256 nt
Filed under: Mus pahari (shrew mouse)
Lineage: Eukaryota; Metazoa; Chordata; Mammalia; Rodentia; Muridae
Description: lncRNA (MGP_PahariEiJ_G0002352.1)
Source: RNAcentral
GUAUCCUCACCCAGGAACACAAGGUGGCUGUAAUUCUCUAACAUCACAUCCCUGUACAGAUUCCACUGUGCAGGGUCCAGGCAUUCCAUCUCUCCUGAAGAGAAAUCAAUGGCCACAUCCCUGAAUGACAGCAUUUCUGAAAUAAAGAUCAACGGAUGAAUAUUACACAAUAGACAAGAGUUAGAAAUGCUUCUGAAACAAAUACUUUUAUAUUUAAAAUGCUCAAAAGCCUGACUUCCAGGCUUCUGAAAUACACACUACAUUGCGCACACGCUGGCCAAUACUUUCCGUGCCUCUCUUCCUCAGACCAUUGGCCCAUUGGAGACAGCUGCGCUAUUUCCAACUUCGGUGAGAUUAAAUUCUUUGGAGACUCUCUAUGGCUAAGAUCAUCUUUUACUUUCCUUUCCAGGUCUGAAAUAAUAAUCCCAUUCAUAUUGCCACUGACAAUAUACCCCAUGCUCUGAGGUUCAUCUGGACUGUGCUGCACAUAAGUGCAUAUACAUAUGAACCUAUGUAGCGCCUCUACUUUCCUUGCUUUGCAAGACCACCUGCAGCCUGUCAAAAGAUUUCCUGAUGAGGGCGGCAUAAUGCCAAGUCCCAGGGGUUCCCUGAGGAGACUGCAACAGUUCUUUCUAGCUCCAAAUUUUCAAAUGUGACUUAUAUAGCAUAAAGUAACCAUGGAAACCAGGAACGUAUAAAGGGAGCACAUGGGGAGGGACAUGAGGGAGGAGUAACAGGACACACGUGCUUCAAAGUGGGAAAGGGAAAAUCUGGAGGGAACUUUAACUGGGAAGAUGGAGGGAGGUCAACACAGAUGGAGAGGGAAAGGGAAAACCUGGAGGGGGUGUCAACUGGGAAGAGGGAAGGAAGCCCGUACAGAUGGAGAGGGAGGGUGAGAUAAGGAAAAAUAACACCAAACCUCAUGAAAUCAUAUUAUUUUAUACUUACUGAAAAUUAUACACUAUACAUUAUAUGCAUACCUAGAGAAAACCACAAGAACUCUCAACCCUAGAGCUAACUCUAUAGGCUUCAUGAUGUUUAAUUUUUUAAGUUAUUUCUUUUUACUUUCGUGCACACAUUGUUGCCAGCUUGUAUGUUGGUGCACCACAUGGUUAUCCUGGAGGCCAGAAGAUGUUACUGGUUCCCUGGAACUGCAGUUAUAGACAAUUAUGAACCACCAUGUGCCUGGUGGGGACUGAACAAUGUUCCUUUGAUAGAGAAACAAGUGCUUCUAUUUAAAAAAUAAAUUAUUUUUG